UAGAGCUUUUAGAUGUUCUGUCAAA
Molecule: non-coding RNA, 25 nt
Filed under: Mus musculus (house mouse)
Lineage: Eukaryota; Metazoa; Chordata; Mammalia; Rodentia; Muridae
Source: RNAcentral